UUAAGUCAUCGCAAUAUUAUGUAUGUCUGUUUAUACCUCCACUGUGUAACCUUCGUGUUUUGAAAAUUCACAUAUCAUUAGUAUUAUCACCGUUGACAAGUGCGGUUCGUUCGACACGCUCCUAACAUUAUUUAUACUCCUAUGUCAAAGUACAUACGUCCAAAGUACAUACGUUCUUCUAUGUGGAGGACCUCCCAUAGGCUGUCCACGGAUAACAACAGUAUCUCCAGAUGUCACCUUUGGAAGGAAAAUUUAGCGUCAUGAAAAAAAUCUAGAUAAUCUCUGGACGAGCCAUUAUACCGACCUGACAACCCUGAAAAUGCCGCUAAGAUGAUACUUCAGAUAUCGUAACCAUAUGUUCUAUAGCCUGUUUCCUGCCAGCUGGGCGAGCAGACAAGAAGUCAACAUCACACGGCGGCAAUAACGAGUCACAAGAAUCGCUGACGAAACACGCGUGAAUUCAUCGCAAUAGGCCGGCAUGAUCCGCGGUGUGAAUUCUCACCUGUUUCACCACUCCAUUUCUCAAUUUUACUGGUGCCUGAGGUGCGCUCAUGAUGCGUUCCACAAUGUUCUCCGAAGAAAUGGAAUUUCGCAGUUAACGUCGAUUCUAUUAGCGCUCCACUCGUGCGCUCUCGGAUCCAAUUAUGUAUAGCUGCAGCUCGAGUUCUGUGAGAUAAUUUAUCGCUCCUCUUGUGUAUUAUUAUUAAAAAUACGCGAGACUACGCUCAGGAGUAAAUUGACAUGUUGGGCUGUAAUACGGUCAGAGAAGCAAAGACUGGCGGUCACUCACGCUUUCCACGUAUCAUGCGGAGUAGUAGUUGUCCGGCACGAGCGCAAUCUACAUCAAAAACACGCUGAGAAAUUCGUUUGAUUUGGUGGUGAUGUGGCAACACGCGACAUACAGCACGCGGCACGGUGUCGCACCCUAUGCUGCGACUUCGAGCUUCGAGCUUCGAGCUUCGAGCCUCGAGCCGUCGAGCACGAGAAGAGGUAGCGAGAAAUUGAAUCGAAAUGAUCGAAAUCGUAUGUAGAUCGAACGAAUCAUUUCUUUUAACUGCAUUAUCAACGACAUUAUUAUUAAAGACGACCAACCACGAACAAUUUUCGUGACUAUCAAGGGAGCUUACUAAUUCUAUUUUUUUUAAUCAAAAAAAUUUUUUUUUUAUGCUUUCUAAUAAGAAAAUAGGAUAUCCUUCGAUCCUUUUUUCAAUGCCCGAAUAUAUAUUUAAUUUAUAAUAUAUAUUUUAUUUCGUUUCAAAUGCAAAGAAUUCUAGGAAGUGCGAGUAAAACGAACAGACCUUCGAUAUCACACAAUUGGAUAUCAAAUAGAGAACUUUGAAGGCUUGAAAAUUUUUCUACUUGGUAGCCAAUUGUGUGACAUUAUGUUUAUAUAUAUUUCUUGUUAAAAAGCUCCCUAAACGUGAAUAUUUUAGCUUAGUCAGCUAUUAUUCUAUUAUUGAAUAUAUCGAUCUUUUAUAUAGCUGUUUGAAGAAUAACAAAUACGAAAUGUUUUACCCCAUAUCAAAUCUACUAUUAUGUCACUGACAAUGCUACUUAUAUUCACAAUAGAGCGUAGAGAGUUUUCCUAAUACACGCUAAUAAAGUUGACAGACUUUAGUAAUAUUAAUAAGUGAAAACAAUCUAAUUUAUCAUCGCACAUAUCAGUCUUUAAUAUCAUUUCAAACUCACAAAAUCUUCAUAUACAGACAUGUAUAAUUUUCAUUCAUUCGUUUUUGAAAUGAACGAAUUAAAUUUUAAGUACAAUUUUGUGUGUGAUAAGUUUGGAAUUUAUAUUCUCUUAGUGAAUGUAUUAGCCAUAGAUAUUAAAAUUAUCUUUAACAAGCUUUCAACUAAAAUAUUAUAAAAAUUUCGACAUAUCUAUAAUAUAUCUUGUUUAGCAUUGCAAUGAGAUAUGAACACUAAUAAUCGUAUGGUAUUUCAGUGUAAUUAUGUGAACAGUAUAAUUUUUUCUCUUAUCUAUUACAUUUUUCUAUAUAUCCUACGAUGAUUAUAUUCUAGCGCAUGUUCUUUGACUUGAACAAAGAAAUGGAAAAGAUGGGAAAGAUGCAAUCACCAACGAGGUGAUAUAAUAAUAAAUAUUUUAAUAUUUGUAUCUUUUUAUCUUCCACAUAGAAUUCUAUAAAUAGUUGUAAACUUAGAAAAACAUGAUAUUUAAUCAUUUUAUUGAUGGAAAUAUUAAUGCUAUUUAUAAAGUUUAAAAUAUCCAUAAUUUCCUCAUCAAGAAAGGGAAAAAUAAAGCAUACUUAAUAUUU
This is a long non-coding RNA of Formica exsecta, 2273 nucleotides long. RefSeq lists it as uncharacterized. The transcript is spliced from 3 exons. The record is from RefSeq and is a predicted model, not a curated record. Lineage: Eukaryota; Metazoa; Arthropoda; Insecta; Hymenoptera; Formicidae.